This 287-nucleotide ribosomal RNA is filed under the name uncultured bacterium. RNAcentral's name for it is "partial 16S ribosomal RNA". It matches the Rfam family "Bacterial small subunit ribosomal RNA", at positions 29 to 334 of the family's 1533-position model. The record is from RNAcentral.
AACGAACGUUGGCGGUAGGCUUAACACAUGCAAGUCGAACGAGAAAUCACCUUCGGGUGGUGGACAGUGGCGAACGGGUGAGUAAUACUUGGGAAUCUACCCUGAAGUGGGGGAUAACAGUUGGAAACGACUGCUAAUACCGCAUAAUCCAUAUUGGGAAAGCUUUAGUGCUUUAGGAUGAGCCCAAGCCUGAUUAGCUUGUUGGUGAGGUAAUGGCUCACCAAGGCGACGAUCAGUAGCUGGUUUGAGAGGAUGAUCAGCCACACUGGGACUGAGACACGGCCCAG